This 495-nucleotide ribosomal RNA is filed under the name uncultured bacterium. Its description in RNAcentral is "partial 16S ribosomal RNA". It matches the Rfam family "Bacterial small subunit ribosomal RNA", at positions 28 to 507 of the family's 1533-position model. The record is from RNAcentral.
GACGAACGCUGGCGGCGUGCCUAAUACAUGCAAGUAGAACGCCGAAGGAGGAGCUUGCUCUUCUGGAUGAGUUGCGAACGGGUGAGUAACGCGUAGGUAACCUGCCUGGUAGCGGGGGAUAACUAUUGGAAACGAUAGCUAAUACCGCAUAACAGUAGAUGUUGCAUGACAUUUACUUAAAAGGUGCAAUUGCAUCACUACCAGAUGGACCUGCGUUGUAUUAGCUAGUUGGUGGGGUAACGGCUCACCAAGGCGACGAUACAUAGCCGACCUGAGAGGGUGAUCGGCCACACUGGGACUGAGACACGGCCCAGACUCCUACGGGAGGCAGCAGUAGGGAAUCUUCGGCAAUGGACGGAAGUCUGACCGAGCAACGCCGCGUGAGUGAAGAAGGUUUUCGGAUCGUAAAGCUCUGUUGUAAGAGAAGAACGAGUGUGAGAGUGGAAAGUUCACACUGUGACGGUAUCUUACCAGAAAGGGACGGCUAACUACGUG